RNAcentral lists this ribosomal RNA (231 nucleotides) under uncultured bacterium. Its description in RNAcentral is "partial 16S ribosomal RNA". It matches the Rfam family "Bacterial small subunit ribosomal RNA", at positions 99 to 334 of the family's 1533-position model. The record is from RNAcentral.
CGGACGGGUGAGUAAUGUCUGGGAAACUGCCUGAUGGAGGGGGAUAACUACUGGAAACGGUAGCUAAUACCGCAUAACGUCGCAAGACCAAAGAGGGGGACCUUAGGGCCUCUUGCCAUCGGAUGUGCCCAGAUGGGAUUAGCUAGUAGGUGGGUAACGGCUCACCUAGGCGACGAUCCCUAGCUGGUCUGAGAGGAUGACCAGCCACACUGGAACUGAGACACGGUCCAG